UUUAGCGUGUUUGCUUUGUCUUGGGGCGGCGGCGGGGGAACGACAUUUCCCAGGAGGCACCGCGAACCAACGCUAGUACUCUAUUUCCCAGAAUUCCCGGCUUUCGGAGCUACCAGACUGUCUCUCCUCGGGGUUGGAGAUUUCGGGGCCAAGAUGGCGACGGGAACGGGCAAACACAAGCUGCUGAGUACUGGCCCCACAGAGCCGUGGUCCAUCCGAGAGAAGCUGUGUUUAGCAUCUUCUGUCAUGAGAAGUGGAGAUCAAAACUGGGUGUCAGUUAGCAGAGCAAUCAAGCCCUUUGCAGAACCUGGCCGCCCUCCAGACUGGUUCUCUCAAAAACAUUGUGCUUCCCAGUACUCGGAGCUUUUAGAGACCACUGAGACCCCAAAACGGAAACGAGGUGAAAAAGGAGAAGUGGUGGAAACUGUUGAAGACGUCAUUGUUCGGAAACUGACUGCUGAGCGAGUUGAGGAACUAAAGAAAGUGAUAAAGGAAACCCAGGAGAGAUAUAGACGGUUAAAAAGAGAUGCAGAACUAAUUCAAGCUGGACACAUGGACAGCAGACUGGAUGAGCUUUGCAAUGACAUUGCAAUGAAAAAAAAAUUGGAAGAAGAGGAGGCUGAAGUAAAGAGGAAGGCUACAGAUGCUGCAUAUCAGGCUCGUCAAGCAGUAAAAACACCCCCCCGGAGGUUACCCACUGUGAUGGUUCGCUCUCCUAUAGAUUCUGCCUCCCCAGGAGGUGAUUAUCCACUUGGGGACUUGACUCCAACCACUAUGGAAGAGGCUACCUCUGGGGUCAAUGAGAAUGAAAUGGCUGUGGCUUCUGGCCACCUGAACAGUACAGGUGUCCUCCUGGAGGUAGGCGGGGUCCUUCCCAUGAUACAUGGUGGGGAGAUACAGCAAACACCCAAUACUGUUGCAGCCUCCCCUGCUGCCUCAGGUGCUCCCACUCUUUCCCGGCUUUUAGAAGCUGGUCCUACACAGUUCACCACACCUCUUGCUUCCUUCACCACUGUUGCCAGUGAGCCUCCAGUUAAACUUGUGCCACCCCCUGUAGAGUCUGUGUCCCAGGCUACCAUUGUCAUGAUGCCUGCGCUGCCAGCACCAUCCUCUGCUCCGGCUGUCUCCACUACUGAAAGUGUAGCUCCAGUGAGUCAACCCGAUAACUGUGUUCCCAUGGAGGCUGUGGGGGAUCCACAUACUGUGACUGUUUCCAUGGACAGCAGUGAAAUAUCUAUGAUCAUCAAUUCUAUCAAAGAAGAAUGUUUUCGAUCAGGGGUAGCAGAGGCCCCUGGAGGAUCAAAGGCUCCCAGCAUAGAUGGGAAGGAAGAAUUAGAUCUGGCUGAGAAGAUGGAUAUUGCUGUGUCUUACACAGGUGAAGAGCUGGAUUUUGAGACUGUUGGAGACAUCAUUGCCAUCAUUGAGGACAAGGUAGAUGAUCAUCCUGAAGUGCUGGAUGUGGCAGCAGUGGAAGCAGCACUCUCAUUUUGUGAAGAGAAUGAUGAUCCUCAGUCCCUGCCUGGCCCCUGGGAGCAUCCUAUCCAGCAGGAGAGGGACAAGCCAGUACCUCUCCCUGCACCGGAAAUGACGGUCAAGCAAGAGAGAAUGGACUUUGAGGAAACGGAAAACAAAGGAAUACAUGAACUGGUGGACAUCAGGGAGCCCAGUGCAGAGAUCAAGGUGGAACCUGCAGAACCAGAGCCAGGCAUUUCAGGGGCCGAAAUAGUAGCUGGAGUUGUUCCAGCCACAAGUAUGGAGCCACCAGACCUCAGGAGUCAGGACUUAGAUGAGGAACCAGGAAGUACUGCAGUUGGAGAGAUUAUUGAAGCAGAUGUUGCCAUUGGGAAAGGCGAUGAGACCCCACUUACAACUGUGAAGACAGAGGCAUCCCCUGAAAGCAUGUUGUCUCCGUCACAUGUCUCAAAUCCCAUUGAAGAUCCUUUAGAGGCAGAGACUCAGCACAAGUUUGAAAUCUCAGACUCAUUGAAAGAAGAAUCAGGGACUAUUUUUGGAAGCCAGAUAAAGGAUGCCCCAGGUGAGGAUGAGGAGGAAGAUGGUGUCAGUGAAGCGGCCAGCCUAGAGGAGCCUAAGGAAGAGGAUCAAGGAGAAGGCUAUUUGUCAGAAAUGGAUAAUGAACCUCCUGUGAGCGAGAGUGAUGAUGGCUUCAGCAUACACAAUGCUACACUGCAGUCACACACACUGGCAGACUCCAUCCCCAGCAGCCCUGCUUCUUCCCAGUUCUCUGUCUGCAGCGAGGAUCAGGAAGCUAUUCAGGCACAGAAAAUUUGGAAGAAAGCCAUCAUGCUUGUAUGGAGAGCUGCAGCUAAUCAUAGGUAUGCCAAUGUCUUCCUGCAGCCUGUUACAGAUGACAUAGCACCUGGCUACCACAGCAUUGUGCAGAGGCCGAUGGAUUUGUCAACUAUUAAGAAAAACAUAGAAAAUGGACUGAUCCGAAGCACAGCUGAAUUUCAGCGUGACAUUAUGCUGAUGUUUCAGAAUGCUGUAAUGUACAAUAGCUCAGACCAUGAUGUCUAUCACAUGGCAGUGGAGAUGCAGCGAGAUGUCUUAGAGCAGAUCCAGCAAUUCUUGGCCACACAGUUAAUUAUGCAAACAUCUGAGUCUGGGAUCAGUGCUAAAAGUCUUCGAGGGAGAGAUUCUACCCGUAAACAGGAUGCUUCAGAGAAGGACAGUGUCCCAAUGGGCUCUCCUGCCUUCCUUCUCUCUCUCUUUAUGAGACAUGAGUGGGUUUGGCUGGAUUCUGAUCAAGAUUAUCCCAACGACUCUGAGUUGAGCAAUGACUGCAAAUCCCUCUUCAGCUCAUGGGACUCCAGUCAGGAUCUUGAUGUGGGCAUCUGGAGGGAAACUGAGGAUCCAGAGGCUGAGGAACUAGAGGAAAGCAGCCCAGGGAGAGAAACUAGUGAACUGCUUGUUGGGGAUAGAGACAGUGAAGAAUCUCAGGAAGAGGCAAAGCAAGCCAGCCACCAGAACUUCCUCCACUUUCUCUCUGAGGUAGCUUACUUAAUGGAGCCCUUGUGCAUUAGCAGCAAUGAAUCAAGUGAAGGCUGCUGCCCUCCAUCUGGUACCAGACAAGAAGGAUGGGAAAUUAAAGCUAGUGAAGGAGAAAGGGAGCUCUGCAGAGACACUGAAGAGCUUUUAGCCAAGGGAGACCUCUUAGUAGCUGAAAAGCCACUGGGAGAAAAUGGAAAGCCAGAAGUGGCUUCAGCUCCCUCAGAUAUUUGUGCAGUUCAGGGACCACCCACAGGGAGUGAAGAGGGGGAGGCUCAGCAAGAAUCCAAAGGGGAGGAUCAGGGUGAAGUAUAUGUGUCAGAGAUGGAAGAUCAGCCCCCUUCAGGCGAGAGUGAUGAUGCCUUUAACAUUAAGGAGACUCCCUUGGUGGAUGUAUUUUUCAGCCGUGCUACCUCCUCAAAGCUGACUGAUCUAAGCCAGGAUGACCCUGUUCAGGAUCAUUUGCUAUUUAAGAAGACUCUCCUGCCAGUCUGGAAGAUGAUUGCCAGUCACAGAUUCAGCAGUCCAUUUCUGAAGCCUGUGUCAGAAAGGCAGGCCCCAGGGUACAAGGAUGUGGUAAAAAGACCUAUGGACUUAACUACCCUGAAGAGAAAUCUCUCUAAGGGUCGGAUUCGCACCGUGGCCCAAUUCCAGCGAGAUCUGAUGCUGAUGUUCCAAAAUGCUGUAAUGUACAAUGACUCUGAUCAUCACAUAUACCAUAUGGCUGUGGAAAUGCGGCGAGAAGUCUUGGAGCAGAUUCAGGUGCUGAAUGUUUGGUUAGACAAAAGACAAGGCUCAAGUAGUCUGGAAGGAGAACCAGCCAACCCAGUGGAUGAUGGAAAACCUAUUUUGUAACGUGGAGCUUCUAGCCUGACUUUUCUAGAGUUUGAAACCUCUCCCUGAACUCUGACCUAGAGAGGAUCCCAGUACUUCUUUGCCAUGUCUCUGUUGUCUUUUCCAAUAAGAAUAUCCCUACCUCACUCAAUGAUACAUGUGGACAUAAUAUAAGGAAAAACAGGGGAAGCUGAGAUUUGGGUUUAAUGCCAUAAAUGUUGCAUACAUCUUUGUUCCACGGGCUUGAUUUAAAGACAAUUAGAUUAGAUCUUUUACUAAGCCUUUUACUCUAAUAAAUAAAUGUCUUUUCACAAACAGAAUAUUGCUUUUUAAUGACUAGGUAAGCUUGGCAUAGAGGGGACAGCAUCAUCCGGUCAAAUGAAGGUAUCUGACACGGGUCUUACAUACACUGCCUGGAAAGGAAUCUGGGAGGUGGGGUGGUCUUAUCAUUUAUAAAGUAGGGAUAAUUGAAGAACAGGAUGAAAUAACAUAAGUUGUGAGUAAAAUGUCAGAAAAUAUCUAGUGCCCUAAGAUUCACAAGGAGAAUAAAGAUGACUACCUGGCUCGCUUUGGUUAAAACAACUUGCCAGAGGCUGCAAGGAGGUUCCUUGCUGGGAUUGGCCCUCUGCAGCCACCGUCCCCACGCUGGGGCUUCAGGUCUCCUAGCAACAAAUUGAACUCACCAGGGCGGCCGCUGAGAUAUAUGUAGAAAAAACUCUGGCCGUUAUCAAACCAGAUAUUGUUGACAAAGAGGAGGAGAUACGAGAUAUUAUUCUCAGAUCUGGAUUCACCAUUGUUCAG
Non-coding RNA from Callithrix jacchus (white-tufted-ear marmoset), 4641 nucleotides. NCBI's taxonomy places the organism in Eukaryota, Metazoa, Chordata, Mammalia, Primates, Cebidae. The record is from RefSeq and is a predicted model, not a curated record.